This 194-nucleotide unclassified non-coding RNA is filed under the name uncultured fungus. RNAcentral describes it as "sequence contains ITS1, 5.8S rRNA gene". The record is from RNAcentral. Lineage: Eukaryota; Fungi.
UUAACUAUUGUAUAGUACUCAGACAACACAAAAAUCAAGAGUUUGGGGUCCUCUGGCAGGCGCGGACCAGCCUAAGCCGGUGGUCAACAGACGGGCCUGCCAAAGCAACAUAGGUAAUGUAAACAAAGGGUGGGAGAUCUACCCCAAAGGGCAAUUUCUCUGUAAUGAUCCUUCCGCAGGUUCACCUACGGAAA